RNAcentral lists this ribosomal RNA (780 nucleotides) under Thiobacillus denitrificans. RNAcentral describes it as "bacterial SSU rRNA". It matches the Rfam family "Bacterial small subunit ribosomal RNA", at positions 63 to 837 of the family's 1533-position model. Lineage: Bacteria; Pseudomonadati; Pseudomonadota; Betaproteobacteria; Nitrosomonadales; Thiobacillaceae. The record is from RNAcentral.
CGAACGGCAGCACGGGUGCUUGCACCUGGUGGCGAGUGGCGAACGGGUGAGUAAUGCGUCGGAACGUACCGAGUAAUGGGGGAUAACGCGGCGAAAGUCGCGCUAAAACCGCAUACGCCCUGAGGGGGAAAGUGGGGGAUCGCAAGACCUCACGUUAUUCGAGCGCCCGACGUUGAUUAGCUAGUUGGUGGGGUAAUGGCUCACCAAGGCGACGAUCAGUACGGGUCUGAGAGGAUGAUCCGUCACACUGGGACUGAGACACGGCCCAGACUCCUACGGGAGGCAGCAGUGGGGAAUUUUGGACAAUGGGCGAAAGCCUGAUCCAGCCAUUCCGCGUGAGUGAAGAAGGCCUUCGGGUUGUAAAGCUCUUUCAGCUGGAACGAAACGGUACGCGCUAACAUCGUGUGCUAAUGACGGUACCAGCAGAAGAAGCACCGGCUAACUACGUGCCAGCAGCCGCGGUAAUACGUAGGGUGCGAGCGUUAAUCGGAAUUACUGGGCGUAAAGCGUGCGCAGGCGGAUUAUUAAGCAAGACGUGAAAUCCCCGGGCUUAACCUGGGAAUGGCGUUUUGAACUGGUAGUCUAGAGUGCGUCAGAGGGGGGUGGAAUUCCACGUGUACAGUGAAAUGCGUAGAGAUGUGGAGGAACACCAAUGGCGAAAGGCAGCCCCCUGGCAUGACACUGACGCUCAUGUACGAAAGCGUGGGUAGCAAACAGGAUUAGAUACCCUGGUAGUCCACGCCCUAAACGAUGUCAACUGGUUGUUGGGGGAGUGAAAUC